GGCGGAUAGGAACGCUGGUGCGUUCGGCGGCCUCAUAAACCGCAGCAGGUGGGUUCGAUUCCCACAUCCGCCACC
Molecule: transfer RNA, 75 nt
Rfam family: tRNA
About the family: Transfer RNA (tRNA) molecules are approximately 80 nucleotides in length. Their secondary structure includes four short double-helical elements and three loops (D, anti-codon, and T loops).